This 301-nucleotide ribosomal RNA is filed under the name uncultured bacterium. RNAcentral describes it as "partial 16S ribosomal RNA". It matches the Rfam family "Bacterial small subunit ribosomal RNA", at positions 509 to 809 of the family's 1533-position model. The record is from RNAcentral.
CAGUAGCCACGGGAAUACGAAGGGUGCAAGCGUUAAUCGGAAUUACUGGGCGUAAAGCGUGUGUAGGUGGUUGUUUAAGUCUGUCGUGAAAGCCCUGGGCUCAACCUGGGAAUUGCGAUGGAUACUGGGCGACUAGAGUGCGGUAGAGGAUAGUGGAAUUUCCGGUGUAGCAGUGAAAUGCGUAGAGAUCGGAAGGAACAUCUGUGGCGAAGGCGACUAUCUGGGCCAACACUGACACUGAGACACGAAAGCGUGGGGAGCGAACAGGAUUAGAUACCCCUGUAGUCCCUGUCUCUUAUAA